This 253-nucleotide ribosomal RNA is filed under the name uncultured bacterium. RNAcentral's name for it is "partial 16S ribosomal RNA". It matches the Rfam family "Bacterial small subunit ribosomal RNA", at positions 524 to 776 of the family's 1533-position model. The record is from RNAcentral.
UACAGAGGGUGCGAGCGUUAAUCGGAAUUACUGGGCGUAAAGCGUGCGUAGACGGUCGCGUAAGUCAGAUGUGAAAGCCCCGGGCUCAACCUGGGAAUUGCAUUUGAGACUGCUCUGCUCGGGUGCGGAAGAGGGAAGCGGAAUUUCCGGUGUAGCGGUGAAAUGCGUAGAUAUCGGAAGGAACACCAGUGGCGAAAGCGGCUUCCUGGUCCGACACCGACGUUCAGGCACGAAAGCGUGGGGAGCAAACAGG